AUUGAACGCUGGCGGAAUGCUUUACACAUGCAAGUCGAACGGCAGCACGGACUUCGGUCUGGUGGCGAGUGGCGAACGGGUGAGUAAUACAUCGGAACGUGCCCAGUCGUGGGGGAUAACGUAGCGAAAGCUACGCUAAUACCGCAUACGAUCUAAGGAUGAAAGCGGGGGAUCGCAAGACCUCGCGCGAUUGGAGCGGCCGAUGGCAGAUUAGGUAGUUGGUAGGGUAAAGGCCUACCAAGCCGACGAGCUGUAGCUGGUCUGAGAGGACGCUCAGUCACAAUCGAGAUGAGGCACAGUCCAGACUCGUACGGGAGGCAGCAGUGGGUGAUAUUUGACAAUGGGCGAAGGCCUGAUCCAGCCAGGCCGCGUGAAGGAUGAAGGCGCUAUGCGUUGUAAACUUCUUUUGAACGGGAAAAAACCCCUUUACGUGUAAAGGGUUGAUUGUACCGUUAGAAUAAGGGUCGGCUAACUUCGUGCCAGCCGCCGCAGUAA
This 495-nucleotide ribosomal RNA is filed under the name uncultured bacterium. RNAcentral describes it as "partial 16S ribosomal RNA". It matches the Rfam family "Bacterial small subunit ribosomal RNA", at positions 30 to 523 of the family's 1533-position model. The record is from RNAcentral.